AUAAGGGGGCUGUUGUAAUUUCACAAGGCUUUUGGGUUACUUUUGCAUUUGUUUGAAUUUGAGGUACACUUUUGUAUUCAAAAUCAAGUUUUGAGUUAUUUUUUGCAAUUCCCCCUUAAAUUAAAGGGUUGUGGAAUAGCCAUAUUUGAGAGAUAAAUUAGUUAAGUAACAUUGAUUUUGAUAUAAUUCAAUGUCAUACAUUUAUUUGUAUCCCAUUUUAUCCGGUUAUGCCCCGUCGAUUAAAAGGUUUCCAGUUGCAAGUGAGAAAUUAGGUGACGUCUUUCUCUUGGUGAAGUCAUCCACGUAUACAUUUUUUAACCACAUACAUAUGCUCCGCGUAUUCUAUUCCAUAUCAUCGAAAUAAUAUAAGAUUAUAACCCCACCUACAACCUUUAAAUACUAAACAUAUCCCAAAUAUAGUUAUCCAUAAUCCCCCAUAACCCCUGAAUAUUACACCCUAAGCUCAAAUAAGUAAACCCUAAACCCAAGUCUAAACUCUAAACCCAAAUAUAAACCAUAAACCCAAACAGAAUGGAACAAAAUAAAUAACAUAGUACAUAAUGGUGAAAUUAUGAAAUCUAUGUGAUUGCAUGUAAGAAGUUAAUGAUGACCCCAAUCAUAUCCCUUCAUCUUCUAAAUACUAAACCCUAAUCUCUAAUCACUAAAUCCUAACCCAAAUAUGAACCCUAAAGCCAAAUAUCAAAAUCUAAAAAGUAUAUAUUAUUAUGUAAUAUUAAAUUAUAUUAUGUAAUAUUAAACUAUACAAUAUAGAUCAAAAUACAAUUUUUACAAAUACAUGUAAAGAUAGUUAGAAUUUAAGA
RNAcentral lists this long non-coding RNA (821 nucleotides) under Brassica napus (rape). RNAcentral's name for it is "long non-coding RNA (BNAP_LNC022876)". Lineage: Eukaryota; Viridiplantae; Streptophyta; Magnoliopsida; Brassicales; Brassicaceae. The record is from RNAcentral.